Molecule: non-coding RNA, 618 nt
Organism: Pogona vitticeps (central bearded dragon)
Lineage: Eukaryota; Metazoa; Chordata; Lepidosauria; Squamata; Agamidae
Source: RefSeq, a predicted model, not a curated record
AGGGAAGAGCUUUACUGAUGCUGGCGAUGGAUGGAAAAGCAAGCAGGUAGGCGUGAUAUCAAAUCAAGCAUGGACUCUCUCUAGAAGCAAAAGUGACUGAGGCUGAUACACUUUAGACGUAUAAGGAAAUGCUUAGAAAAAAUGAAGCUAGUAGGAAAAGAGGAAGACUGAACAUGAGAUGGAUUGAGAAAACAGAGGAAGGAACGGCUUGAAUGUGUAAUAUCUCAGCGGGACCUUCUGGAAAUAAUUAAUUCAUGCCAUAUGUCAGAUGCAACCUGACAGUUCAGAACAGCAACAUCUCAACAAGAAGCACCAAACAAAACGAAGGCAAGAAAAAAACACAUUUGCAGCACCUUAAAGAUUCACUGUUAUAUUUUAAUGUAAGCUUUCCUGGAGCAUGCUCACUUCUUCAGACCUAAGAACCGGAAUGCUGAAACGACAUGGGACAGAACAACUGAACCAACCAUCAACACCGGUUGGGGACCACCUUAAGAAACACCCCACUAUGACAAAAAAAAACCACCUGUAACUUAAAUGGGCUACAGAUCAUGAUCCUGAACCAACCAGGGCAACCAUCGAGCUGUUUGUGAAGACAUCAUGCGGAAGGCCAGACUGGAC